Small nuclear RNA from Perognathus longimembris pacificus (Pacific pocket mouse), 107 nucleotides. The record is from RefSeq and is a predicted model, not a curated record. NCBI's taxonomy places the organism in Eukaryota, Metazoa, Chordata, Mammalia, Rodentia, Heteromyidae.
GUGCUUGCUUUGGCAGCACAUAUACUAAAAUUGGAAUGAUACAGAGAAGAUUAGCAUGGCCCUUGCGCAAGGAUGACAUGCAAAUUUUUGAAGUGUUCCACAUAUUA